GUGCUCUUGUGAUUGUGACUGACACAGGCAGCACCCUUUUGCAGAAGUAGAUGUGCGUUGCUGAGAAAUUUUCUGCCUAAGUUCUGGUUUUCUUUGCAGCACCCAGCAUUUGUUUCUAACACAGGGAAAGAGUGAGCUGGAGAAACCUCUCAAAUUCAAGAAAGCGUAAAGCAAAUUGAACAAUACGGGUGAGGAGCACGGACUAUUCUCUCAUGUUGAAUGUGGCACUUUUUACAUACAAGCAGGAGAGCAACUACACCAAGAUUUUGGAAAACAUGUUAUGUAAGGUUAAUUGUGACCUCUAUGAUGGGGAUAUGAUAAAGAAGAAAAGUACCUCACAGCGAUGAUUGGCAUGUGAUCACUUAGCCAAUGAGAUAAGAGGCUGUAGAAACGAUGUGAUAAUGACAUCUCCUGAGUUGCAGGUCCAUAUUAGAAGUGGAUAUGAAGUAAACAUUGAGCUUUCCUCACAUUUAAUUAACAAGCUUUAUUAUAGAUACAGCUCAAAUUAGUUAAUUCAGGAAGCUUAUUUUGUAGAAAUUAAAACAUUAAUAAACACAUACAUUUAGAAAUAAAGAACUCGGCUGACCCUUUGACUCUUUGAAACAAGUGGCCUUCCAUGCUGUGAAAGAUUGUAGCCACUCUUUGAGACAUUGGAAUGGUGUCCAUUGCAUUUUAUCAAGUUAACUAUAGGUCAGCCUGGGAAAUCUGAAGUUUCCUUAUCUCCUGUCACUGUGGUUGCUGUGAGAUUUUGUGUCAUCACUGUGCUGUCUUCCCUCUCCACAUGAAGGUGAGCUGUCUGGCUUCACUCUAACGUUUGUGAUUUCACGCCCGACCUGAUUGUUGCCAAGCAAUUCCUUUGUUUGGAGAAUUCUGUGCUUUGUUUAGAAUUUUUUAAAGGUUCUUUUCCUGUGGUCAGAUUUCUGUUUGCUACUGUGUCUUAUGCCUUGUUCUCCUACAGAGAAGAUUCUUUGAAGUUAGUGGAAGCUCAGCUUAAAGGAAGAUCUACUGCUCUGUGUGGUGGAUGACCAUGGGGGAGCGAGAAGGCAGCCUCCGGCUUUUGUUUUGUGUGUGUGUGUGUGUGUGUGUGUGUGUGAUGUACCUGGAAAAAUAACACGACUAGGAUUAAAGAGUAUGUUUGGCAUGUUUAAAAUAAAUUGUAAACCAAACGUAUUUUAAAGAAUUUAUACAAAUUUGUCAUUUAGUAAAAUGAAUGACUAUUGAGUAUUCAUGUCAAUAAAACAACCACUUGAAUACAACAA
This 1259-nucleotide long non-coding RNA is filed under the name Homo sapiens (human). RNAcentral describes it as "non-protein coding LINC01612:1". Lineage: Eukaryota; Metazoa; Chordata; Mammalia; Primates; Hominidae. The record is from RNAcentral.